GGCUGCUCUCAGCCUUGAGCAAAGAAGCUUCCUUUUGCAGAGAGAGCGAUCAGUGGAGAGAAGCACAGCUGGUCAGAGCGAUGAGACUAAGAGACCAAGUGUUAAUCUCUAAACGAGACAUCUUCAGUAACUCCCCCCACCCACCAAAGUCCAGGGGACACUGUAGAAAAGGAGGCAGAAAGAAGCAAUGUUGAACAGACAGGAGCAGGCAGAGCACAGAAACACUUCUACAGUUUAAGCCCUAAAACCAUGCUCUUGAUGCAAACACUGGCAAGUCACACAUUGAUGCAGUGGUGACAUCUUAGCCAACAGGGAAUCACAACCAGGCCUAACAGCGAAUUUGAAGUCUCCAGAAAAAUAAUGGGGUCCCACAACAACGAUUCCACAUGGACAAUAAUAAUACACUAAGCUGACAAACAUCAUCUACAGAUCAGCUUUGGACUACAAAAUGCUCAGGACAAUUUCAAGAUGCUAACGAGAUGACCCAGUUUCACAGACUACUUGAACAAGGACUUGAGAUAAGCCCGGAACUUUGGCAUUAUGCAGAGACUGGACGACAAAUGAUAUAGCUACCUCUCCUGGAACUUGACAAUUAACCCAAAAAUUUUCUUUUCAGGAUCCCCUAAAGAUACCUUCACCCACAAAUAGCAGGAAGCAAUUUUAAGAACAUGAUGCCCACAUUUCCAAGAUGUGGGGUGGGGUGGGUGGUUUUUUUGGUCUUUCAAUGGGUUUCAGGUUUGGGAUAGUUGUCAUUGUUUAGAAGGGUUGGUUACAAGUUGUUGUUGGUAAUGGGCAGGAAGGAAAAGGGCUAAACAAAGGAGAUUAGAUUUAAGGUUCUUGUUUGAAAAAAAAGAGGAUAUAGAUAAGAGGUAGAUUAUUGAAUCUACUCUGAAAAAAAAGAUAUAGAAAUGAUAGAAUAAAGGAUGGAUUAUUAAAUCUACUCUGAAAAAAAAG
Long non-coding RNA from Peromyscus eremicus (cactus mouse), 954 nucleotides. RefSeq lists it as uncharacterized. Lineage: Eukaryota; Metazoa; Chordata; Mammalia; Rodentia; Cricetidae. The record is from RefSeq and is a predicted model, not a curated record. The transcript has 3 exons.